Oxyura jamaicensis (ruddy duck) is the source of this 1876-nucleotide long non-coding RNA. RefSeq lists it as uncharacterized. Lineage: Eukaryota; Metazoa; Chordata; Aves; Anseriformes; Anatidae. The transcript has 10 exons. The record is from RefSeq and is a predicted model, not a curated record.
CUCUCAUUUGAAACAGGACCAGAAAACCACAAACCCUCUGACUCCAGGAGCUGGGAUUUUAAGAAAAGCUGCCAGUGGUCACGCAAAUACUGAGGAAAAUGAUGGCAUGUAAUGAGCAGGGGCACUGUGACUGAAUGUGAGAGGAGAGCCUGCAGCAAGGCACCACAGCAAGAACGAGGCCCCACCCAAAUGAGUUGUGCACAUGUGGACUGAUGCCAAUGGAACCAAUGGAAUGUCUCUGGGUACACAUUCACUGGGACUGAGGUCCUACCACAUUCUGGGGAUCUGAGUGACGAGGGUGUAGCUCUCCACUCCUUUAUUUGCCUUGCACUGAGAUGAAGCUUGAAGUGUUCCGUGAAGGAAGAAUUGUACUUGAUUCCCUCAGCUCAUAAUUCACUGCCCGAGACCAAGUCCAUCAACUUGCAAUGGAGAGGACAAAGUUAGUGCCCCGUGGUGUUUGCUUUCAAAAAGGAAACAACAAGGAGAUUUUUACUUCUAUCAGUAAAAGACUUCCUUGGACAUUAAUAGGUUGACUGCUAUGUCGCUGAACUUAGUGCAUGAAAGGUCAGCCUUUGAAACGCUAAAUAAGUUGAAGAGGAUGUAGAAAACAUAUCACAUAUGGGAAAGUGUGCAUCCUACAGUGGCAAUUGUGUUAAAGAAUCAGUUUGUGGGAGAUAUUAUGCCACAGGAGUGCCAGUCUAUGACGAUUAAAUUACAGCUACUGGUCGAGAAGGAGAAAUGAAAUCAAGAAAAAUGGAUCUGGGGGCUUUAACACAUUCAAAACUGAAGACCUUCCUGGAACACUACCAAUUUAUUUCCUCCAAAGGCUUCAGCAGAAGGGAGAGCUAUUCACAGUACCAACUUUUUUGCAGCAAAAGAAGGAUUAACUCUGACCAAGGUCAGAGCAACUAGUCACCAAUAUUCUUCAUGGGAGAGUCAGGCCUCCUGCAUCCCCAGGAAAUAUCACCUGAAAUAGCCACCUACACACAGGAGUUUAACAGGGAAUUCUGUAGUGUCAGAAAUGUGUGGCAUUCUGAAAAGUCUAGCGAAGCCGUAAGACAAUUAUAUGGCAGCUUCCCCAGGUUUCUCAGUCUAAAGUGUGGGGGAGAGAUAAUAUGUUGUUAUGCUAGCCUACCUCACACUGCAUGUGAUACUCAAUUAGCUGUUUGAAGUUAUAAAUUGUUGAGUGAUGAUAGAGCAUAACUUUUCAAAAUAAAUGACAUCGUAUUUUUUGCACACUUUUUAGUACUGAAAUCUACCAGAAAGGGCUGUCUGACUUUGAUCCUUACUGUGCUUUAUUUUCAUGUUUGAUGAUUCUUCCCAUUUCCAAUACCAAAUGAUGGUCAUUUUCCAGCACUUCCAAUUUAUAAGCAAGACCUCGUAUAAUAAGAAAAAAAUAAUCUAAUCAUUGUGUUGUCUUGGCAUUUCUUUUCCAGCUGACAACACUGAGUACCUGCUGAUUUGAAUACUUUUUCAGAUAUAGGAAACUCAACAUUAGAGAACACAAAGAGUCCCUGUUUUGCAAAUCUUUAGUGUUAAAGGUAUAAAGGGAACCCUGUUACAUUUGAAUUCAACUGUUGGAAUGUUUUUAAGUACUUCAGAUUUAAUUCUGCUGAAUAGAACAUAGUACAGAAGACAUACAGUUUAAAAUAAACAUGGUGAAAAACAUUCUGUUGGCAAAUUAAUAUCUGGUAAACAUCCUUGUAUCAAGCAGUUUCAGGACAGAUAGUAUUUUUCAUGUGUGACAUUUUGGAUUCUGUGAUGAUCAGGUAAGUUCAUUUUAGAUUAUAUUUUGCCACUCUAGAGUAGACAUUUGACUCUGUCCUGUACAGGGAGUCUUUUUUUGUCAUUAGGAAAUCACUUUAUUAUGCUUUGA